ACGGAAGGCAGCAGUGGGGAAUAUUGCGCAAUGGGCGGAAGCCUGACGCAGCGACGCCGCGUGGGGGAUGACGGCCUUCGGGUUGUAAACCUCUUUCGACUUCGACGAAGCCUUCGGGUGACGGUAGGGGUGGAAGAAGCACCGGCCAACUACGUGCCAGCAGCCGCGGUAACACGUAGGGUGCGAGCGUUGUCCGGAAUUAUUGGGCGUAAAGAGCUCGUAGGCGGUGUGUCGCGUCGGCCGUGAAAACCUGCAGCUUAACUGUGGGCUUGCGGUCGAUACGGGCAUCACUGGAGUUCGGCAGGGGAGACUGGAAUUCCUGGUGUAGCGGUGAAAUGCGCAGAUAUCAGGAGGAACACCGGUGGCGAAGGCGGGUCUCUGGGCCGAUACUGACGCUGAGGAGCGAAAGCGUGGGGAGCGAACAGGAUUAGAUACCCUGGUA
Molecule: ribosomal RNA, 442 nt
Filed under: uncultured Pseudonocardia sp.
Lineage: Bacteria; Bacillati; Actinomycetota; Actinomycetes; Pseudonocardiales; Pseudonocardiaceae
Description: bacterial SSU rRNA
Rfam family: Bacterial small subunit ribosomal RNA
Source: RNAcentral